This 547-nucleotide ribosomal RNA is filed under the name uncultured bacterium. RNAcentral's name for it is "partial 16S ribosomal RNA". It matches the Rfam family "Bacterial small subunit ribosomal RNA", at positions 355 to 895 of the family's 1533-position model. The record is from RNAcentral.
UGGGGAAUUUUGGACAAUGGGGGCAACCCUGAUCCAGUAAUGCCGCGUGUGUGAAGAAGGCCUUCGGGUUGUAAAGCACUUUUGUCCGGAAAGAAAACGCCGUGGUUAAUACCCGUGGCGGAUGACGGUACCGGAAGAAUAAGCACCGGCUAACUACGUGCCAGCAGCCGCGGUAAUACGUAGGGUGCAAGCGUUAAUCGGAAUUACUGGGCGUAAAGCGUGCGCAGGCGGUCCGCUAAGACAGAUGUGAAAUCCCCGGGCUUAACCUGGGAACUGCAUUUGUGACUGGCGGGCUAGAGUAUGGCAGAGGGGGGUAGAAUUCCACGUGUAGCAGUGAAAUGCGUAGAGAUGUGGAGGAAUACCGAUGGCGAAGGCAGCCCCCUGGGCCAAUACUGACGCUCAUGCACGAAAGCGUGGGGAGCAAACAGGAUUAGAUACCCUGGUAGUCCACGCCCUAAACGAUGUCAACUAGUUGUCGGGUCUUCAUUGACUUGGUAACGUAGCUAACGCGUGAAGUUGACCGCCUGGGGAGUACGGUCGCAAGAUU